AUUUGUUGUGAAGUAUUUUGUAGCUGGUCCUGCAGAGGGGGGAAGGCACCUUGGGAGUGCUAAAGCAUACAUAUACCCAUAGUAUGUACUCUGUCUAUGCACACUAGGUAAGACCACCCCCUGUAUUUUGGUUGGUACGCCAGGUAGUAAGAAUGGAGUUAACUCUGGGUCUUCCUUUCUUGUGGAGAUCCUCAUGAGCCAGUUUCAUCAUAGCACUUGGAUUCUGUGACUGCACUUGAAGAAACUUUCAAAGUUCUUAAUUUUCUGAAUUGACUGACCUUCAUGUCUUAAAGUAAUGAUGGACUGCCUUUUCUCUCUGCUUAUUUGAGCUGUUCUUGCCAUAAUAUGGACUUGGUCUUUUACCAAAUAGGGUUAUUUUCUACCACCCCUACCUUGUCAUAACUGAUUGGCUCAAAUGGUUAAUUUGUGGAAUUUCUUCAAGGUACACCUGUUCAUUGAAAUGCAUUCCAGGUGACUACCUCAUGAAGCUGAGAGCUUGUCAAGGCAAAAGGUGGCAACUUAGAAUCUCAAAUUGAUUUGUUUAACACUUACUACAUGAUUCCAUGUGAUUUAAUAGCUUUGUCUUACUAUUGUACAAUGAAGGAACCCUGGAAUGAGUAGCUGUUAACUGGUACUGUAAAUUGCACCACAAAUGGUAUUCUAUUUCCAACGUAGUGACCUACUUUUGACUAUAAGGCUCCUGUCAAACGAAGAGCACGACAAAGGAAAUAAGUUACCAUAACCAUGGUUACAGGACAUACCAUGUCUUCAAGAUGGUUUAUUCUCAGGGUGUAGGUGUGCUUGACCCUGCUUCCUCCAGGUUGAUGGAAUGCAUGUUGUACUCCCAGACCAUCCUGCUGGGGCUCUCUACUGGACCAUAAAGUAGGAACAUUACUACUAGGUUAUGGCACCAUAUUCCCCAUUUAGUGCACAACUUUGACCAGGACUUAGUGUUCGUCAAAAGUAAUACCUUUAUAUAGGUGUCAAGUCUACUCCCUCCCCGGCGCUCGACGUCAUCAGUUUAUUCAUUAUUAUGCACACCUGCCACUGUUACUUGCACCUGUACCUCAUGAGACUCACCUGGACUCCAUCCCUUCCUGAUUACUUCUCCUAAAUCUGUCAGUCUCUUUGAUUCUUUCCCCAGGUGUUAGUCUGUUUCUGUGCUUCAUGUCUGUACGCUACUCGUGUUUCUUAUUUUCUUUUAAUGUUCCCUUAUCUAUUAAAUUCACUCCCUGUA
This 1237-nucleotide long non-coding RNA is filed under the name Salmo salar (Atlantic salmon). RNAcentral's name for it is "lncRNA (ENSSSAG00000111631.1)". The record is from RNAcentral. Lineage: Eukaryota; Metazoa; Chordata; Actinopteri; Salmoniformes; Salmonidae.